UGAGUAACGCGUGAGGAACCUGCCUUCCAGAGGGGGACAACAGUUGGAAACGACUGCUAAUACCGCAUGACACAUGACCGUGGCAUCACGGACAUGUCAAAGAUUUAUCGCUGGAAGAUGGCCUCGCGUCUGAUUAGCUAGUAGGCGGGGUAACGGCCCACCUAGGCGACGAUCAGUAGCCGGACUGAGAGGUUGACCGGCCACAUUGGGACUGAGAUACGGCCCAGACCCCUACGGAAGGCAGCAG
RNAcentral lists this ribosomal RNA (247 nucleotides) under uncultured bacterium. RNAcentral describes it as "partial 16S ribosomal RNA". It matches the Rfam family "Bacterial small subunit ribosomal RNA", at positions 107 to 354 of the family's 1533-position model. The record is from RNAcentral.